This 2478-nucleotide long non-coding RNA is filed under the name Salmo salar (Atlantic salmon). Its description in RNAcentral is "lncRNA (ENSSSAG00000091546.1)". Lineage: Eukaryota; Metazoa; Chordata; Actinopteri; Salmoniformes; Salmonidae. The record is from RNAcentral.
AUCCCCAGCAACAAUAAAUACAGCCUCAGGAUAUGUGGUUUCCAGUUUGCAUAAAAUCCAGUAAAGUGCUUUGAGGGCCGUCGUGGUAUCAGCUUGAGGGGGGAUAUGGACCGCUGUGGCUAUUAUUAUUUUGGGAAAUAGUACGGUGGCAUUUGAUUGUGAGAUAUUCUAGGUCGGGUGAACAGAAGGACUUGAGUUCCUGUAUGUUAUCACAGUUACACCAUAUGUCGUUAAUCAUAAAACAUAUACCUCCACCCUUCUGCUUCCCGGAGAGAUGUUUGUUCCUGUCGGCGCGAUGUACUGAGAAUCCAACAGCCUUUACAAAGUCAGACUGUAUAUCUCGAGAGAGCCAUGUUUCCGUGAAGCAGAGUAUGCUACAAUCCCUGGUGUAUCUCUGAAAAGCAACUCUCGCCAUGAGCUCAUCAACUUUAUUAUCCAGAGAUUGGACAUUAGCGAGUUAUACACGGGAGCGGUGGGUGGUGUGCACGCUUCCCAAGUCGAACCAGAAGACCGCCCCGGGUACCUCUCCUUCGCCGGUGUUGUUUUGGGUCAGCCUCUGGAAUAAGUUAAAUUGCUCUGGGGAGAGCAAACAAAGGAUCUGCUCCAGGGAAGUCAUGAUCCUGGUCGUAAUGCUGGAAGUUCUGCUGGGAGUGGCCACAGGAGCCAAGGCCUAUUGACCAGGACAGGAGAAGGAGAGUGAUGGAUGUCCACAAUCUCCACAUCCACCACAGACUGAGAGGAGCUGGCGAUCAAGCAGACAUACCGGGAUCACAAGUCCUUCAUCAGGAUCCAGUUUUGACAUGAAGGAUGCGUCAGAUGACCUACAGACAGAAAGUCUGCUAAACCUUAAAAGCUCCAAUUCUCCCCACCCUGUGGUCUAAGCCUUUUAUGUAGCUCAUAUUCAGUGGAGCAUUUCAGAUACAGUACAACACCUCUGGGUUGAGAACCACAGCAUGUUCCCAGUCCAGUCAAGCCUGGUCAUGAGACAGUAUACUGGAAAAUGUGAUUUGCUAAGAUCAGGCAGCUUUUGUUUUGAGUUCUUUCUUCACCCAAUUUGCUUGGAGAAAAAAACUAAAUGUUCCCAGAAUAUUUGUGCCAAAAUGGGUCAGCAAGUCACAUUACACGGCCCCACUGAAAACUCAAUACAAUUGAAGACAUUUGAACUAUGUAGCACUUGCAACCUAAGUGAACUAUCAUUGGUCAAGUGCAUUCUUUGGAAAAUGAGGGCCAGAGGGCUGUUUUGAGUAUAUUGACUUAUUAAUCAGUCUACUCUGUUGAUUACAAGGGCCUGAUUGAGGAGAUUGUCCUAUUCAAUCUAUAUCGCUGAAGCGUACAUUUAAAGGUAAUUUCUGAUUGAGCCGACUUAAGCAACAUAUACCGUGAUUGCAGUCUCCGCUAACACGGGAACAUUGCCUUUAAAUUUCAAUCACGUUAUAACGCUGAACUUCCGCUAUAUGGAUUGAAGAGAGCCCUAAGCAGUGUUGGAAACAGUACCCAAUUGUCAUACUUGAGUAAAAGUAUAGAUACCUUAAUAGAGAUCAAGCACCAGAAAAAGUCGCCCAGUAAAAUGCUACUUGAGUAAAAGUCUAAAAGUAUUUGUUUCUAAAUAUACUGAAGUAUCAAAAGUAAAAGUACAAAUAAUUCCAAGUUUCUUAUAUUAAGCAAACCAGAUGGUACAAUAAAAAAAAGAUCUUAUUUACAUUUAGCCAGGGGCACACUCCUACAAUCAGACAUAAUUUACAAACAAUGCAUUUGUGUUUAGUGAGUCCCCCAGAUAAGAGGUACUAGAGAUGACCAGGGAUGUUCUCUUGAUAAGUGUGCGAAUGAAUUGGACCAUUUUCCUGUCUUGCUAAGCAUUCAAAACGUAACAAGUACAUUUUGGUGUCAGUGAAAAUUUAUGGAGCAAAAAGUACAUUAUUUUCUUUAGGAAUGUAGUGAAGUAAAAGUAAAAGUUGUAAAAAAUAUAAAUAGUAAAGCAAAGUACAGAUACCCCAAAAAACUACUUAAGUUUAAAGUAUUUUUACUUAAGUACAUUACACCACUGUACACCAUUGUCUCCACCCCCUCCAGGUGUCGCUUGUUUUCCCCAGUGUAUUUAUCCCUGUUUUUCCUGUCUCUCUGUGCCAGUUUGUCUUGUAUUUUCCAAGUCAACCAGCGGUGUUUCCCGUUCUCCUGCCUUUGCUAUUCUCCUUUUUCUUGUCCUCCUGGUUUUGACCCUUGCCUGUUUCUGGACUCUGUACCCGCCUGCCUGACCAUUCUGCCUGCCUUGACCUCGAGCCUGUCUGCCACUCUGUACCUCCUGGACUCUGAACUGGUUUUGACCUUUUGCCUGUCCACGACCAUUCUCUUGUCUACUCCUUUUUUGGAUUAUUAAACAUCUUAAACUCCAACCAUCUGCCUCCUGUGUCUGCAUCUGGGUCUCGCCUUGUGUCAUGAUAUGGAGUGAUAGAUGUGCAGAUGAUGAUGUGCAAGUAGCGA